Molecule: ribosomal RNA, 417 nt
Filed under: uncultured bacterium
Lineage: Bacteria
Description: bacterial SSU rRNA
Rfam family: Bacterial small subunit ribosomal RNA
Source: RNAcentral
UGGGGAAUAUUGGGCAAUGGGCGAAAGCCUGACCCAGCAACGCCGCGUGAAGGAAGAAGGUCUUGGAUUGUAAACUUUUGUCCUAUGGGAAGAAGGAAGUGACGGUACCAUGGGAGGAAGCCCCGGCUAACUACGUGCCAGCAGCCGCGGUAAUACGUAGGGGGCGAGCGUUGUCCGGAAUUACUGGGCGUAAAGGGCGCGCAGGCGGCCGAUCAAGUUAGAUGUGAAAUACCUGGGCUUAACCUGGGAACUGCAUUUAAAACUGGUUGGUUAGGAGUGCAGGAGAGGGAAGCGGAAUUCCUAGUGUAGCGGUGAAAUGCGUAGAUAUUAGGAGGAACACCAGUGGCGAAGGCGGCUUUCUGGACUGUAACUGACGCUGAGGCGCGAAAGCGUGGGGAGCGAACAGGAUUAGAUACC